CUCAGUGUGUGUGUGUGGGUCGAUGUUCGACCAGGAGAGAAGGGAAAAGGGGUAAAACCCUAGAUCACCAAAAUCCAUCAAAUUGAAGGAGGAUUGAAGGGCUAAUCGAAUGCAUGAACCAGGAAUGUCGAUCAUUUAAGUGUUUCUACCAUCAUGAACGUGUCAAGGAGAGGUCAAGCAUAGGAGGAUAACGGGUCAAGAUAAGGCAAGGUGACAAAUACACUUAUUAGAGUACUCAAGGUAUCGCUUGGGUUUUCUCUACAUUUAUUGAAGUCAAGCAGGGCUUAGUUCGAGUUGAGAGCAAGGAUUGUACGGGGUAGAACGAUCACACAAUGAGAUUUAUAUAAGUCUUGAUGUGUAAAUCUGUUUAAAUGAAUAUAUGGUAUUUCGUAUUUGAACCUUCAUAUGAUUGACAUGUCUAAUAAAGAACGAAAUUUUUGGACUCAUGUUUUCCAUUGCGUCGUAUUUAAGUUCUUAUAAGUUGGUCAAACAGGGAAUUGCUCUUAUUACGAACGGGUCAUGCCCGAAUUUUAUUAUAAUAAUAGCAUGAUAAUAUUACUUUCGGAUUUGGAAAUCUGGGUGUUACAAGUUGGUAUCAGAGCCCUGGUUUGAGCGAAAUCAAGUAUGAUGAGGCAAAUACUUGAACUCAAACCUACGCGCUCUUGUGAUCAGGAACCCGUACAAUCCGAGACUCGAUCAAGAUCUAAAGGUGGAAGCGAAUGUAAGUGUGUACUUAAGUAUGUAUUUGAAAACUAACAGUAUGUCAUGUGUAAGGUAAGGAUAAUUGCUUGGAAGAGGAUGAUUCGUGAAUGCGGUCUAGGACCGACACCAAGGUAUGUAAUGAGACCAUUGCCCAGGUACGUAAAUUUUGCAUAAGGGUGCAUGUAAUGCUAAAAGUUAUCGAGUGAAGGAAAAUUUUAAUGAAAUAUAAUAAUAUAAUGGAAACGAAGUUAUGAAAAUGUUACACGUGCCGAAACCUAAUUCUUCGGACAUAAGGUGACGAUUACACGAAGACACGAAACUAGUAUGUGGAUUGUGUACCUGGCCAGUACACAAGAAACAUAUGAUGUUCGUGAGACCGUAAUGAUUGUUACAGGUAUGUCAGUUAGAAUUAGGUAGUGGGUGGACAUGAGGGUGAAAAGAAAUGUAAGACUUUCUGAAAUGAAAGUAUGAAUGAUAUGUUAGAAUCCGCGAGACGGAUUCGAAACAUGAAAGGAAUGAAAGUAUGAAUGAUAUGUUAGAAUCCGCGAGACGGAUUCGAAACAUGAAAGGAAUGAAAGUAUGAAAGAUAUGUUAGAAUCCGCGAGAUGGAUUCGAAACAAAGAAGGAAAGAAAGUAUGAAUGAUAUGUUAGAAACCGCGUGACGGUUAGAAACAUAAUAAACGAUAAGAAUGAAAAGAUUCGAAGUUGUAGGUAAUUACGGACUAAGGAAUUAAAUAUUCUUUAAAAAGCAAAUAUUAUCCAAGUUAUGUCUUAAACUUAUAUAUAUAUACAAAUAUGUUUAUAUGCAAGAAUGGUUAAAGAGACGAAUGAGUCAUGCAGGUCAAAUGGUAAUCGCCAUUUAAACCGAUAUUUAGUGUUUUGAUUUGUUAAGUUUUAUACUUGUAGGUGAGCAUAAUGUUUGGCACGUAAACCUAAAUUUUGACGAAAGAAAGAAGUUUUGAACAUGUUAUGUUUUAGAUGUGUUAGUAAUCGACUCUUAGGAGUCGUAAUAAAUGACGGGCUACGAUCCGGACAAUAAUUUAAGUAUAAUUGGGAAGGGUAAGUUAUGGCAAGAAUACUGAAUUGAUGUAAUGAAUGUCUUGGCAAGUAAGCAUGAAUGAAAAAGGAGUAAGAACGUGUACUUUAAUACAUAUACGAUAAAUAAGACAUGUCAGUUUGACCUCGAAAAGUCAAACUGUAAAGGUUGACGAAAUAAGAAACUGGAAUAAAAGAAUUGCAUGUAAGGGAUGAAAUGUGGGAUGUGUUAUAGCAUGUAUGUAGGAAGAAGUAAAGGGAUAAUAGGUGGGUAUCAUCUAGUAUAAUGAUUGUUUGAAUGAAAGGUGCUAAUCGACAAUUUUGUAGAUGUUAAUGGUGGAAUUCUGAAUAUGAUGAAACCAAUCGAAUUGUUGAAAGAAUGUGCACGAGUGGAAGCCCAUUACAAGAAUGAAUGAAAGCUGGCCUGGUACGGUUAGUACUUGUGAAGAAGCGGAUCAAUAUGGUUUACGGAUCGCUGAAGUAUGAAAUGAAAUCAAGGUAAGUAAAAUGUUUUAACUCAUGCCAGAUAGAUAUGGAUUAGUAAAUUGAAAACGGCUUACGAGAUGAGUGAUGGGAUAGGUAUGGUAUGGUAUGGAAUGUUUGACUUUAAUAGUUGACGUUAGAAGAAAACUAUGCCAUUAAGAACUAAAUCUUGAAGGUUUU
Molecule: long non-coding RNA, 2400 nt
Filed under: Helianthus annuus (common sunflower)
Lineage: Eukaryota; Viridiplantae; Streptophyta; Magnoliopsida; Asterales; Asteraceae
Description: sRNA HanXRQr2_Chr15g0693291
Source: RNAcentral